This 197-nucleotide small RNA is filed under the name Chrysemys picta bellii (western painted turtle). Its description in RNAcentral is "TUC338 (ENSCPBG00000026772.1)". Lineage: Eukaryota; Metazoa; Chordata; Testudines; Emydidae. The record is from RNAcentral.
UUGACAGCCCUAAAGACUGAAGACCUCUGUCAAUCCUGGAUCCUCUGUUUAUCGACAGAACAGGUAGAGAGAGCACAGGCAGCAGUGCAGGCUUUCCUUACAGCACCUCGCCAAUGGGCCUCAAGCUUGCCCCAGCAAGACCCACAGGAAGGGAGAAGAUAAUUCAGUCUCCAGGUGGGAUCCAACCCUUGGCCUCU